UACAGAGGUGGCAAGCGUUGUUCGGAUUCACUGGGCGUAAAGGGUGCGUAGGUGGCCGGGUAAGUUCGGUGUGAAAGCUCGGAGCUUAACUCCGAAAUGGCAUUGAAUACUAUCCGGCUUGAGGUUCGGAGGGGAGACUGGAAUUCUCGGUGUAGCAGUGAAAUGCGUAGAUAUCGAGAGGAACACCAGUGGCGAAGGCGAGUCUCUGGACGAAUCCUGACACUGAGGCACGAAAGCUAGGGGAGCAAACAGG
This 253-nucleotide ribosomal RNA is filed under the name uncultured bacterium. Its description in RNAcentral is "partial 16S ribosomal RNA". It matches the Rfam family "Bacterial small subunit ribosomal RNA", at positions 524 to 776 of the family's 1533-position model. The record is from RNAcentral.